RNAcentral lists this ribosomal RNA (433 nucleotides) under uncultured bacterium. RNAcentral's name for it is "partial 16S ribosomal RNA". It matches the Rfam family "Bacterial small subunit ribosomal RNA", at positions 29 to 507 of the family's 1533-position model. The record is from RNAcentral.
AACGAACGCUGGCGGCAUGCCUAACACAUGCAAGUCGAACGAGACCUUCGGGUCUAGUGGCGCACGGGUGCGUAACGCGUGGGAACCUGCCCUUAGGUUCGGAAUAACUCCCCGAAAGGGGUGCUAAUACCGGAUAAUGUCUUCGGACCAAAGAUUUAUCGCCUUUGGAUGGGCCCGCGUUGGAUUAGCUAGUUGGUAGGGUAAAAGCCUACCAAGGCGACGAUCCAUAGCUGGUCUGAGAGGAUGAUCAGCCACACUGGGACUGAGACACGGCCCAGACUCUUACGGGAGGCAGCAGUGGGGAAUAUUGGAAAGUGGGCGAAAGCAUGAUGCAGCAAGGCCGCGUGAGUGAUGAAGGCCUUAGGGGUGUAAAGCUCUUUUACCCGGGAUGAUAAUGACAGUACCGGGAGAAUAAGCACCGGCUAACUCCGUG